UACGGAGGGCGCGAGCGUUAAUCGGAGUUACUGGGCGUAAAGCGCGCGUAGGCUGUUGUGUAAGUUGGGGGUGAAAUCCCACGGCUCAACCGUGGAACAGCCCUUGAUACUGCGCGACUUGAAUCCGGGAGAGGGUGGCGGAAUUCCAGGUGUAGGAGUGAAAUCCGUAGAUAUCUGGAGGAACAUCAGUGGCGAAGGCGGCCACCUGGACCGGUAUUGACGCUGAGGCGCGAAAGCGUGGGGAGCAAACAGG
Molecule: ribosomal RNA, 253 nt
Filed under: uncultured bacterium
Lineage: Bacteria
Description: partial 16S ribosomal RNA
Rfam family: Bacterial small subunit ribosomal RNA
Source: RNAcentral